AUGCUUGUCGAGACAAACAAGCAUGAACAAUACUAUAUUGUUUACAAGCUUCUUAAGUUGGUAUUAAUUCUGCGAGUAGCUACUGCUAGUGUUGAAAGGGUGUUCUCUUCAAUGAACUAUGUGAAGAAUAAGCUAAGGAGCAAAAUGGGUGAUGAUUACUUAAACAAUUGUUUGGUUACAUUUGUUGAGAGGGAAUUCUUCAAUCAAGUAAAGGAUGAGGAUGUCAUCAAUCUCUUCCAAAAAGGCGAUCGCAAAGUUAUAUUGUAA
This 267-nucleotide ribosomal RNA is filed under the name Triticum aestivum (bread wheat). Its description in RNAcentral is "partial small subunit ribosomal RNA". The record is from RNAcentral. Lineage: Eukaryota; Viridiplantae; Streptophyta; Magnoliopsida; Poales; Poaceae.